Molecule: non-coding RNA, 151 nt
Organism: Caenorhabditis elegans
Lineage: Eukaryota; Metazoa; Nematoda; Chromadorea; Rhabditida; Rhabditidae
Source: Ensembl
AAAAUGAAUUUGAAAUUCAGUGAUCCGAUAAACACGCCACGAGCAUCAGCUUCUUGGCCACGGAGGCUUGAAAAGCGGCGCGCUCUGAGAAGCUCCUGGGAGCUCUGAGAAUUCAUAAUCAUUUUUGGUGGAGAUGCGAGUCAGCUCUUCC